This is a non-coding RNA of Misgurnus anguillicaudatus (oriental weatherfish), 1309 nucleotides long. The record is from RefSeq and is a predicted model, not a curated record. NCBI's taxonomy places the organism in Eukaryota, Metazoa, Chordata, Actinopteri, Cypriniformes, Cobitidae.
CAUUCUAUGACCUAAUAUGGAAUCCAUGACGACAUAGAACGCCAGCUCUCGGGCUAUAUAAAGCGCAGUUCCACACAGUGUUGAGUUAUUCUGUGGUGAGCUUAGGAAGAAAACGGUUAACCUUAAAACACUCAGCUGAGGACAGUGCAGGACAGAGUUGUCAAUACCAAAUGCCUGUUGCAGUAGAUGUCGUCUGAAAGUCUUAAGUGUCACAUGGACAUGCAGUAUUGCCUUUAUCCACUUAUACAGUAUACUGAAGAAUGAUAGUUGAGCUCAUUUGGUUUGUGCUUUAAUUUAAAGGUCCAUUUGACAAUUCAAAACUUCAGGAGCGGGAGGCUGAUCAGAAGGGCACAUGUCAAAACAUGCAGCUGGACAACAAGAGGUUCCUCAUACAUGCCCUGAUCUCCACCCCUCUUACCAGCUGCUGCUUCAACCCAUCACUCUACAGGCUACACUGGGUGUCCACGCUCAGAUUAAAGUCUCUGCCCACUGAAUGCUGUGUCUACUAGGGAGAGUAGAAGUUACAUCUCUGCACAUGACUUAUUCUGUGGUGAGGGUAAAACCGGUAAACCUUAAAACACUCUGAGAAACAUUGCAAGACAGGUAGAAGGGGAAACAUGUUUACGUUAUGAAGCAUUAAGAUAAUAUGAUAAUUAAUUGACAUGUUUUUUUAAUUAGAAUUAUGCUGCGUUGUGUAAACUAAUUCAAAGAUCAGACAUAAAGCCAAACAUUUUUAGAAAAGAAACGCUACCAAAUAUGAUUAGAAGUACUAAAGCAUAUACAGUUAGUAUGUGUUAAUAUAUAUAUAUAUUAGUUCAGUUUAUAUAUUAAAUAAAAAAAAUACUUAAAUCGUCUCAAAACUUUUGGUUGCUCAAAGGUCCUUGUUAUUAGAUUUGCUUGUUUCCUUCCUCUGGGUGCAGUGCUCUGUGCAUGACUAUCAGCUUCAUGCCCACAAUGCUGUGUGCACUCUGUACCGGGUGGGUCAAGGUUUGGGACUGGCAUAAAGACAGGAAUGGCCCUACUUUUAAAACACCUAAGCAUCUAAUGUAAAGACCUUGUUUUUUAAUAUUACCAAUUUGUCUAACAUAAUAAUGAAUAGAUAUAUAUUUUUAAUAGAGAUUAUUAUCCAUCGUGUAAAUACGUUAAAACAUGUAAAGGUCAACAAGUUUUUUUUAAUUAAACACUUAACUAAUAUGAUCAGAACUUCCAGGGUGUCUGACCCUACCGGCCAAGCUUGACGAGAGGUGUCCAGAGCAUACGUGCAAGCGGGACAGGGCCGCUUGUCGUCCUAGAAGUCUUGGACUUCCAG